AUUGAACGCUGGCGGCAGGCCUAACACAUGCAAGUCGAGCGGUGGCACAGAGAGCUUGCUCUCGGGUGACGAGCGGCGGACGGGUGAGUAAUGUCUGGGAAACUGCCUGAUGGAGGGGGAUAACUACUGGAAACGGUAGCUAAUACCGCAUAACGUCGCAAGACCAAAGUGGGGGACCUUCGGGCCUCAUGCCAUCAGAUGUGCCCAGAUGGGAUUAGCUAGUAGGUGGGGUAACGGCUCACCUAGGCGACGAUCCCUAGCUGGUCUGAGAGGAUGACCAGCCACACUGGAACUGAGACACGGUCCAGACUCCUACGGGAGGCAGCAGUGGGGAAUAUUGCACAAUGGGCGCAAGCCUGAUGCAGCCAUGCCGCGUGUGUGAAGAAGGCCUUCGGGUUGUAAAGCACUUUCAGCGGGGAGGAAGGCGGUGAGGUUAAUAACCUCAUCGAUUGACGUUACCCGCAGAAGAAGCACCGGCUAACUCCGUGCCAGCCGCCGCUGUAA
Molecule: ribosomal RNA, 504 nt
Filed under: uncultured bacterium
Lineage: Bacteria
Description: partial 16S ribosomal RNA
Rfam family: Bacterial small subunit ribosomal RNA
Source: RNAcentral